RNAcentral lists this ribosomal RNA (372 nucleotides) under uncultured organism. Its description in RNAcentral is "partial 16S ribosomal RNA". It matches the Rfam family "Bacterial small subunit ribosomal RNA", at positions 527 to 896 of the family's 1533-position model. The record is from RNAcentral.
GUAGGUGGCAAGCGUUGUCCGGAAUUAUUGGGCGUAAAGCGCGCGCAGGGCGGUCCUUUAAGUCUGAUGUGAAAGCCCACGGCUCAACCGUGGAGGGUCAUAGGAAACUGGGGGACUUGAGUACAGAAGAGGAAAGCGGAAUUCCAAGUGUAGCGGUGAAAUGCGUAGAGAUUUGGAGGAACACCAGUGGCGAAGGCGGCUUUCUGGUCUGUAACUGACGCUGAGGCGCGAAAGCGUGGGGAGCAAACAGGAUUAGAUACCCUGGUAGUCCACGCCGUAAACGAUGAGUGCUAAGUGUUAGGGGGUUUCCGCCCCUUAGUGCUGCAGCUAACGCAUUAAGCACUCCGCCUGGGGAGUACGGCCGCAAGGCUG